RNAcentral lists this ribosomal RNA (911 nucleotides) under uncultured bacterium. RNAcentral's name for it is "bacterial SSU rRNA". It matches the Rfam family "Bacterial small subunit ribosomal RNA", at positions 8 to 916 of the family's 1533-position model. The record is from RNAcentral.
AGAGUUUGAUCAUGGCUCAGGAUGAACGCUAGCGGCAGGCUUAAUACAUGCAAGUCGAACGGCAGCACAGGUAGCAAUACUGGGUGGCGAGUGGCGCACGGGUGCGUAACACGUAUGCAACCUACCCUUUACUGGGGCAUAACUUUUAGAAAUGAGGGCUAAUUCCCCAUGGUAUUAUGAGAAGGCAUCUUUUUAUAAUUAAAGAUUUAUCGGUAAAGGAUGGGCAUGCGUCCCAUUAGUUAGUUGGUGAGGUAACGGCUCACCAAGGCGAUGAUGGGUAGGGGUUCUGAGAGGAUUAUCCCCCACACUGGUACUGAGACACGGACCAGACUCCUACGGGAGGCAGCAGUAAGGAAUAUUGGGCAAUGGGCGAGAGCCUGACCCAGCCAUGCCGCGUGCAGGAAAGACGGCCUUAUGGGUUGUAAACUGCUUUUAUAAGGGAAUAACCUUCCGUACGAGUACGGAACUGCAUGUACCUUAUGAAUAAGCAUCGGCUAACUCCGUGCCAGCAGCCGCGGUAAUACGGAGGAUGCAAGCGUUAUCCGGAAUCAUUGGGUUUAAAGGGUGCGUAGGCGGGAUUGUAAGUCAGUGGUGAAAUUUCCGGGCUUAACCUGGGCGCUGCCAUUGAUACUGCAGUUCUUGAGUAUAGUUGAUGUUGGCGGAAUGUGUCAUGUAGCGGUGAAAUGCAUAGAUAUGACACAGAACACCGAUAGCGAAGGCAGCUGACAAAACUAUAACUGACGCUGAUGCACGAAAGCGUGGGGAGCAAACAGGAUUAGAUACCCUGGUAGUCCACGCUGUAAACGAUGAUAACUAGCUGUAGGCGAUACACAGUCUGUGGCUAAGCGAAAGCGAUAAGUUAUCCACCUGGGGAGUACGUCGGCAACGAUGAAACUCAAAGGAAUUGACGG